This 403-nucleotide ribosomal RNA is filed under the name uncultured bacterium. RNAcentral describes it as "partial 16S ribosomal RNA". It matches the Rfam family "Bacterial small subunit ribosomal RNA", at positions 28 to 526 of the family's 1533-position model. The record is from RNAcentral.
GACGAACGCUGGCGGCGUGCCUAAUACAUGCAAGUCGAACGCAGUGGGGACGGGUGAGUAACACGUGGGUAACCUCCCAUCAGAGGGGAUAACACUUGGAAACAGGUGCUAAACCGAUACUGAUGGAUGGACCCGCGGUGCAUUGACUAGUUGGUGAGGUAACGGCUCACCAAGGCCACGAUGAAUAGACGACCUAAGAGGGGUAUCGGCGACACUGGGACUGAGACACGUCCCGAGCUCCGACGGAAGGCAGCAGUAGGGAAUCUUAGGCAAGGGACGAAACUCUGACCGAGAAACGCCGCGUGCGUGAAGAAGGUGUUCGGAUCGUAAAACUCUGUUGUUAGAGAAGCGGUAUCUAACCAGAAAGCCACGGCUAACUACGUGACAGCAUCCGCGGUAAUAC